RNAcentral lists this long non-coding RNA (642 nucleotides) under Salmo salar (Atlantic salmon). RNAcentral describes it as "lncRNA (ENSSSAG00000121869.1)". The record is from RNAcentral. Lineage: Eukaryota; Metazoa; Chordata; Actinopteri; Salmoniformes; Salmonidae.
AAUUUUUUUAAUGAAAAUUUGUUGGCAUGAUGCCUCAUAAGGUUAAUAUUACUGUAUAUGGACAUACAAACAUUUUCAUGUUUUCAUUUAGGUUGUUUUGUCAUUCCAUGUCGUAACAUAAUUUGUUAUUUGCUUUUAUAGUCCUAGAUGAUACUUUUUUUCAACAUGUGUACAGAUAAUGUUGUUUGACGAAUUCAGGUGUACCAUGGGGAGCGGAGGUUGUUAUGAAUUCAGGUGUACCAUGGGGAGCGGAGGUUGUUAUGAAUUCAGGUGUACCAUGGGGAGCGGAGGUUGUUAUGAAUUCAGGUGUACCAUGGGGAGCGGAGGUUGUUAUGAAUUCAGGUGUACCAUGGGGAGCGGAGGUUGUUAUGAAUUCAGGUGUACCAUGGGGAGCGGAGGUUGUUAUGAAUUCAGGUGUACCAUGGUGAGAGGAGAUUUGUUAUGAAUUCAGGUGUACCAUGGGGAGCGGAGGUUUGUUAUGAAUUCAGGUGUACCAUGGGGAGCGGAGGUUUGUUGUGAAUUCAGGUGUACCAUGGUGAGAGGAGGUUCGUUGUGAAUUCAGGUGUACCAUGGGGAGCGGAGGUUUGUUAUGAAUUCAGGUGUACCAUAGGGAGCGGAGGUUUGUUAUGAAUUCAGGUGUAC